GAGCCGAAGUCAGAAGCUUAACCGACUGCCCACUCAGGCACCCCAGAUAUAAUCAUUUUUAACAGUUCAAUAGAUGGUAGUUUAGCAAAAGAACUUUACAUUUAAUAAUGUAUUUUUAAAUUGCCAUUAAAAAUCAAUACUUAAUUAAAUUAGAAUGUGAGGGAAGGAGUUAAAGGUCUAGAGUAAGUAGGAGUAAAUAAUUUCAUCAUCAUGAAUCAGUGAAGAUAAAAUCAACAAGUUGUUAUUGACGACUUACUUCAUACUGCUUUUUGAGGAUAAAUAAUAUACCUGUAAAGAAACAAUCUAGUUUUUAAAAAUGGCUUCUAAGAAACCAAAGCUUUCAUAAAUGAAUAAAAAUUGAAAAUUGAAUAAAAAUUGAUAAUAAAUGCAACAAUUUACAUUAUAUCACUGGAAGGGAAAGUUAAAGCCUCAGCUACAGAGAAACUGUGAAAAAUAAGUGAUGUUAGACAAGUUAAUAUUAUUUUUUUAUUUAAACCUUUCUCAGUGGAACUAUCCCCAAAUAAAUACUGUGUUUUACUAUUUUCUUAAAUCAUUAUGCUGUGCUAUGUGCAUAUAGCUUGAGAUUUCGUUGUGUGUAGUGUGGAGCAUUGGACUAAGUAACUUGAUUUUGCUGGAUGGUGGCACUGACGUUUGCUCUUGUAGUCUUUAUUUUUCCCACUGCUUUCUCCUUCUCAUUUCUGCUUGUGCUGUUCUCCCACUUGUAACCAUCAUGUGACACUACUAGCCAAAUAGAUAGAGAUUUUCUUUCAAUCUUUUGCAUUGGGCAGAGUAGGCGCUUUAUUUCCUCUUCAUUUCGUUCAUUGUUGCUGAGUACUAAGGAACUCCUUCCUUGGCCACCAGAUACUUUCUUCCUGGCAUAUUCCCUCCCAUUACACUUGGGAGUCCUAUUAUGUGAAAUAAGUAAAACCAUGAUGGGCCCCACUGGGGAUAUUCAUGAGAACUCGAAAAUACGUUUCUUUGGAAAUGUUAACAGUACCAUUGAACUUCCUUUUAACAGAAGUUAUAUGCCAUUUUUAAAAUUUAUUCUUUAAUAAUGUCAAGGGAAUAAACUUUUAUUUUUCCUGUUAUUAGUCAUAUUACUAUUUUUUAAAAUUUUCUCAACAAAAUUUUUUUCACACUUCUUUCUUGGAAAUUAGAUGAUUGCAGAACUGGGCCUAGAUGCUAAGUCACUUCGCAUUCAAUCUGGUUCUUUUUAUUUAACUGAGAGCCACUCUUCCUUUUCUGUGUCUGCUUCAGUGAAGAAAGGAGCAGAUCAUCUGUAAAUGCCCCAUCCAUUCUUUAUUGCUAGGAGUUAUACUGAAGUUUUGGAACCCAACUGCCAAUCACUUUGAAAGUAUGGUUACAUGAGUUAAUGGUGAGCAUGAUACCAUGAGUUUUGCUUUAGAUAAAUUAUUUAGCUUCCUAUGGAGAUCAAAAUGGGUUAACACAGCCUCGAGGCAUCAUCUGAGCUUAUAUCAUUCAUGAGACAAGAAGAAUAUACCCGCGUGGCAUCAGAAGUGGUCCAGAUUGAUGACAGCGUGCUGGGCGCAGGCAGAGACAAAUGUCAAGGACACCGACACAGUCCUAAGAGAUCAAGAAGUAGAAAUGUAUCAUAUUUACAAUAAUCAAAUAUAAAUGAGAAGUCUGUGUGCCUAUCUGACAGUGAAUGGCAUUAUCCAUUGGUCCAGAGGGAACAGCAGGACCAGGCACUCCUCUUCAGAUCCCCAGGCCUCACCAAUCGGAACCAGGUCUUGUAUUUGCAGUUCAAAUGUUACAUUAUGUUAAAAAGUGCCAAAACUGGGGCACCUGGGUGGCUCGGUCGGUUAAGCGUCGGACUCUUGGUUUCAGCUGGGGUCAUGAUCUUGAGGUUUGUGACUUCCAGCCCUUCAUUGCACUCUGUGCCAACUGUGCAGAUCCUGCACAGCUCUCUCUCUCUGCCCCUCCCUUGCUUGUGUGCUCUCUCAAAAUAAAUAAGCAAACUUUAAAAAAGUGUCAAAAUUAUUAUGUUAGUGAUUGAUAUGAAAAAGUUGCUUUGAGGUAGCAUCCCUUCCUUUAUUUAGGAAAGUGCAUUUUGGGAGCUGGAUCUUAUGAUAGAUUGGAUUAUUGUUCUCUGCUCAUAACUGCUCCCUGUUGUGGAAUUAUACAGAAGCACAUUUUGCCAUGUGACAACAGUACCUCCCACUAGAGUAAAUGAAGAAUGUUUAUCAAAGUAAAUAAAUGUGGUGACUACCAGGUGAAUACAUAUUUUAUUCAUCAUUAUAUUUGGUAAAACAACAACAACAACAACAACAAAAGACAAACAAAAAAAUUAUCCCACUUGAGACAGGUAAUAUGUAUACAAAUUUCAGAAAUACUGUAUUUUGAAAUAAGAGAGAUUUCUUUAUUGUUACAGAAGUUAAAAAUAAUUAAAUAUUUUUAAAUAAUACACGAUCAAAUUGGCAUAUAGAUUCUUGCCAGAUUUGUUUCUUCCUAGAGGGUCCAUGUAUAACUACUUAGUGAUUACUAUCUCCAACAUAAAUUGCAGACUUUGAGAUACUUAAGAGAUUAAUCAUCCCAACAAAGUUCCAAUAUUUUUAAAGCAAGAACUUUAAAAAAAUUAAUUCUUAGCAUUCCAUAUACACAACAGAUAAAGAUUGUUGUGAUUACAAUUUGGAGGGAUUUUAUUUAAUUUUAUUUUAAAGUACAUACAUAAAAAUAGUUAAAAUCUUUGUUCA
Long non-coding RNA from Leopardus geoffroyi (Geoffroy's cat), 2714 nucleotides. RefSeq lists it as uncharacterized. The record is from RefSeq and is a predicted model, not a curated record. Lineage: Eukaryota; Metazoa; Chordata; Mammalia; Carnivora; Felidae. The transcript is spliced from 5 exons.